ACUCCUACGGGAGGCAGCAGUGGGGAAUAUUGCGCAAUGGACGAAAGUCUGACGCAGCAACGCCGCGUGGGUGAUGAAGGUCUUAGGAUUGUAAAGCCCUGUCUUCGAGGACGAUAAUGACGGUANCGAGGAGGAAGCCACGGCUAACUAC
Molecule: ribosomal RNA, 151 nt
Filed under: uncultured low G+C Gram-positive bacterium
Lineage: Bacteria; Bacillati; Bacillota
Description: partial 16S ribosomal RNA
Rfam family: Bacterial small subunit ribosomal RNA
Source: RNAcentral